GAUGAACGCUGGCGGCGUGCCUAAUACAUGCAAGUCGAGCGAACAGACGAGGAGCUUGCUCCUCUGACGUUAGCGGCGGACGGGUGAGUAACACGUGGAUAACCUACCUAUAAGACUGGGAUAACUUCGGGAAACCGGAGCUAAUACCGGAUAACAUGUUGAACCGCAUGGUUCAACAGUGAAAGACGGUCUUGCUGUCACUUAUAGAUGGAUCCGCGCCGCAUUAGCUAGUUGGUAAGGUAACGGCUUACCAAGGCAACGAUGCGUAGCCGACCUGAGAGGGUGAUCGGCCACACUGGAACUGAGACACGGUCCAGACUCCUACGGGAGGCAGCAGUAGGGAAUCUUCCGCAAUGGGCGAAAGCCUGACGGAGCAACGCCGCGUGAGUGAAGAAGGUCUUCGGAUCGUAAAACUCUGUUAUUAGGGAAGAACAAAUGUGUAAGUAACGAUGCACGUCUUGACGGUACCUAAUCAGAAAGCCACGGCUAACUACGU
Molecule: ribosomal RNA, 496 nt
Filed under: uncultured bacterium
Lineage: Bacteria
Description: partial 16S ribosomal RNA
Rfam family: Bacterial small subunit ribosomal RNA
Source: RNAcentral